RNAcentral lists this ribosomal RNA (468 nucleotides) under uncultured bacterium. RNAcentral describes it as "partial 16S ribosomal RNA". It matches the Rfam family "Bacterial small subunit ribosomal RNA", at positions 28 to 507 of the family's 1533-position model. The record is from RNAcentral.
GACGAACGCUGGCGGCGUGCUUAACACAUGCAAGUCGAACGGAAAGGCCCUGCGUUUGUGGGGUGCUCGAUUGGCGAACGGGUGAGUAACACGUGAGUAACCUGCCCUUGACUUUGGGAGAACUUCAGGAAACUGGGGCUAAUACCGGAUAGGAUCUCCUGCUGCAUGGUGGGGGUUGGAAAGUGUGGGCGGUUGGGGAUGGACUCGCGGCUUAUCAGCUUGUUGGUGUGGUAGUGGCGUACCAAGGCUUUGACGGGUAGCCGGCCUGAGAGGGUGACCGGCCACAUUGGGACUGAGGUACGGCCCAGACUCCUACGGGCGGCAGCAGUGGGGAGUAUUGCACAAUGGGCGGAAGCCUGAUGCAGCAACGCCGCGUGCGGGAUGACGGCCUUCGGGUUGUAAACCGCUUUCGCCUGUGACGAGGCGUGGGUGACGGUAAUGGGUAAAGAAGCACCGGCUAACUACGUG